AGAGUUUGAUUCUGGCUCAGAACGAACGCUGGCAGCGUGGAUUAGGCAUGCAAGUCGAACGGGAUCCCUUGGGUUCAAUUCUUCGGAAAAGUUUCCUUGGGUGAGAGUGGCGGAAGGGUGAGUAACGCGUGGGUGAUUUACCUCUGAGUGGGGAACAACCCCGGGAAACCGGGGCUAAUACCGCAUACGGUUGUCUGUCGCAUGGCAGACGGACUAAAGGUGGGGAUCUUCGGACCUACCGCUCGGAGAGAAGCCCGCGUACGAUUAGCUUGUUGGUAGGGUAAUGGCCUACCAAGGCUCCGAUCGUUAGCUGGUCUGAGAGGAUGAUCAGCCACACUGGGACUGAGACACUGCCCAGACUCCUACGGGAGGCUGCAGUCGAGGAUCAUUUGCAAUGCGCGAAAGCGUGACAAUGCGACGCUGCGUGGAGGACGACGGCCUUCGGGUUGUAAACUCCUGUCAUGCGGGAAAAACUAAGCGGUCAAGAUAAUGGGCCGCUCCUGAUGGUACCGCAAGAGGAAGCCACGGCUAACUUCGUGCCAGCAGCCGCGGUAAUACGAAGGUGGCUAGCGUUGUUCGGAUUUACUGGGCGUAAAGCGUGCGUAGGUGGUUACGUAUGUCGGAUGUGAAAGCCCGGGGCCCAACCCCGGAAUUGCAUCCGAAACUGCGAAACUAGAGUCCAGGAGGGGAGAGCGGAAUUCAGGGUGUAGCGGUGAAAUGCGUUGAUAUCCUGAAGAACACCGGCGGCGAAGGCGGCUCUCUGGAAUGGUACUGACACUGAGGCACGAAAGCGUGGGGAGCAAACAGGAUUAGAUACCCUGGUAGUCCACGCCGUAAACGGUGCGCACUUGGUGUGGGAGGUAUUGACCCCUCCCGUGCCGGAGCUAACGCGUUAAGUGCGCCGCCUGGGGAGUACGGCCGCAAGGCUAAAACUCAAAGAAAUUGACGGGGGCCCGCACAAGCGGAGGAGCAUGUGGCUUAAUUCGAUGCAACGCGAAGAACCUUACCAGGGCUUGACAUGUAACUGCAUACCACCUGAAAGGGAGGUAGCCUUCGAGGGUGUUACACAGGUGCUGCAUGGCUGUCGUCAGUUCGUGCCGUGAGGUGUUUGGUUAAGUCCAGCAACGAACGCAACCCCUGUGUCUAGUUGCCACCGGCGGUGAUGAGCCGCUGAGCACUCUAGACAGACUGCCCGUACAAGCGGGAGGAAGGUGGGGACGACGUCAAGUCAGUAUGGCCCUUACGCCCUGGGCUGCACACGUGCUACAAUGGUCGGUACAGAAGGAAGCAAUAUCGCGAGGUGGAGCAAAUCCUGAAAACCGGCCCCAGUUCGGAUUGGAGUCUGAAACUCGACUCCAUGAAGUUGGAUUCGCUAGUAACGGCGUAUCAGCUACGACGCCGUGAAUACGUUCCCGGGCCUUGUACACACCGCCCGUCACAUCAUGAAAGCCGUCUGCACCCGAAGUCGCUGAUCUAACCCGCAAGGGAUGAAGGCGCCGAAGGUGUGGGUGGUGAUUGGGAUGAAGUCGAAACAAGGUA
This 1539-nucleotide ribosomal RNA is filed under the name metagenome. Its description in RNAcentral is "bacterial SSU rRNA". It matches the Rfam family "Bacterial small subunit ribosomal RNA". The record is from RNAcentral.